This 495-nucleotide ribosomal RNA is filed under the name uncultured bacterium. Its description in RNAcentral is "bacterial SSU rRNA". It matches the Rfam family "Bacterial small subunit ribosomal RNA", at positions 29 to 511 of the family's 1533-position model. The record is from RNAcentral.
AUUGAACGCUGGCGGCAUGCCUAACACAUGCAAGUCGAACGGCAGCACAGCAGUAGCAAUACUGUGGGUGGCGAGUGGCGGACGGGUGAGGAAUACGUCGGAAUCUGCCCAGUCGUGGGGGAUAACUAGCCGAAAGGUUAGCUAAUACCGCAUACGACCGAGAGGUGAAAGCGGGGGACCGCAAGGCCUCGCGCGAUUGGAUGAGCCGACGUCGGAUUAGCUAGUUGGCGGGUAAAGGCCCACCAAGGCGACGAUCCGUAGCUGGUCUGAGAGGAUGAUCAGCCACACUGGAACUGAGACACGGUCCAGACUCCUACGGGAGGCAGCAGUGGGGAAUAUUGGACAAUGGGCGCAAGCCUGAUCCAGCAAUGCCGCGUGUGUGAAGAAGGCCUUCGGGUGUAAGCACUUUAUCAGGAACGAAAAGGACGUUAGGGAUUAAUAACUCUGACGUGCUGACGGUACCUGAGGAAUAAGCACCGGCUAACUUCGUGCCAG